CCAAAUUUCAGUAUUAUAAUGUCUGAUGGUUAAUGUGAUGUCACUGAAUGCAGAUUGAGAAGACUGUACAAAAUCAACUCUCAUGGGCCAAUGCAAGAGAUUUCCAACACAACAGUGCAUAUAGGAUUUUGAAGAUUAUAUUCUCCAAAAAUGGUCAAGAUGAUAUCACCUCUCCCACCAUUCAUUUUAUGAUGUGGCUUUGAUAUUCUCACUGAAGACUAGGAUCCCUUUUAUCCAAGGACUCAUGACUACAGCAGAAGUGUUGCUAUGUGACAUCUGAGGCUAGGUCAUAAAGGAAGUUCAGCUCCUUCUUUGAUCUCUUCAUCUUUUUGCUCUUCAAAUGAGGGAAGCACAUUCUGAAGAAGACUGGGCAGAUACAUGGACAGGCUACAUGCAGGUGUUUUCACCCGCAGCUGAGUUCCCAGUUGAUAGAAUUAACAACACUCAUGUGAGUAAAUGAACCUUUGGAUAAAUCCAGUCCUCAGACAAGUCCACUCUGGCCUUUGGGUGAGAAAAACUAAAAUGGCUUUCUAUAAAGUUUUUGUUAGGCUUCAGAGACCUCUGAAAUUCUAUGGUUAGAGGCAUUCAAGUGGAUGAAUGAAUUCCUUCAGACUCCAUGUGAUGUGAAAGAAUACCUGAGUAUGAAAACACAAGAGCAAUAUGGCCGAAAACUUGAAAAAUGCAGACUGGCAUCUUUGAGGUAUGUGAUCUUUAGGAGUAAUCUAAGAAACAACACCAGCAUCUGUCAACUUUUCUGCUGUUUGCAGCCUGGAAAUAGCUUCACAUGCCCUCGUGUCCCAGAGGGUAUCCAAAACAGGCCUAAGUGUCUUAUGAACAGUUGGUGCUUUAUUCUGAGAUUGCCUUCCAAGUUCAGAAUCCUUAUUAGAGAAAAAAGAGGCUUAGCAAAACAGAUGUUCAGUUGAGUGGAAAGAACAGAUAACAGACAUAUCCAUGAAUCAAAAUGGAAAUUUACGAGAAAACAAAAUAAACAUUUUUGUCUCUAUAUUAUUCCA
RNAcentral lists this long non-coding RNA (1013 nucleotides) under Vulpes vulpes (red fox). Its description in RNAcentral is "lncRNA (ENSVVUG00000024194.1)". The record is from RNAcentral. Lineage: Eukaryota; Metazoa; Chordata; Mammalia; Carnivora; Canidae.